CCUACGUGGGGCUGCAGUGGGGAAUAUUGGACAAUGGGGGGAACCCUGAUCCAGCCAUGCCGCGUGUGUGAAGAAGGCCCUCGGGUUGUAAAGCACUUUCAGUGAGGAAGAACGCCUGGUGGUUAAUACCCAUCAGGAAAGACAUCACUCACAGAAGAAGCACCGGCUAACUCCGUGCCAGCAGCCGCGGUAAUACGGAGGGUGCGAGCGUUAAUCGGAAUUACUGGGCGUAAAGCGCGCGUAGGUGGCUUGAUAAGCCGGUUGUGAAAGCCCCGGGCUCAACCUGGGAACGGCAUCCGGAACUGUCAAGCUAGAGUGCAGGAGAGGAAGGUAGAAUUCCCGGUGUAGCGGUGAAAUGCGUAGAGAUCGGGAGGAAUACCAGUGGCGAAGGCGGCCUUCUGGACUGACACUGACACUGAGGUGCGAAAGCGUGGGUAGCAAACAGGAUUAGAUACCCGGGUAGUC
This 465-nucleotide ribosomal RNA is filed under the name Vreelandella stevensii. RNAcentral describes it as "partial 16S ribosomal RNA". It matches the Rfam family "Bacterial small subunit ribosomal RNA", at positions 338 to 795 of the family's 1533-position model. The record is from RNAcentral. Lineage: Bacteria; Pseudomonadati; Pseudomonadota; Gammaproteobacteria; Oceanospirillales; Halomonadaceae.